CGGAACACGAGAAAUUCCGUCGGAAUCCGCGGGGACCAUCCCGCAAGGCUAAAUACUCCCUAGUGACCGAUAGUGAACCAGUACCGUGAGGGAAAGGUGAAAAGCACCCCGGAAGGGGAGUGAAAUAGAUCCUGAAACCGUGUGCCUACAACAAGUCAAAGCUCGUUAAUGAGUGAUGGCGUGCCUUUUGUAGAAUGAACCGGCGAGUUACGAUUGCAUGCGAGGUUAAGUCGAAGAGACGGAGCCGCAGCGAAAGCGAGUCUGAAUAGGGCGAAUGAGUAUGUAGUCGUAGACCCGAAACCAUGUGAUCUACCCAUGUCCAGGUUGAAGGUGCGGUAAAACGCACUGGAGGACCGAACCCACGUACGUUGAAAAGUGCGGGGAUGAGGUGUGGGUAGCGGAGAAAUUCCAAACGAACUUGGAGAUAGCUGGUUCUCUCCGAAAUAGCUUUAGGGCUAGCCUCGGAAUUGAGAAUGAUGGAGGUAGAGCACUGUUUGGACUAGGGGCCCAUCUCGGGUUACCGAAUUCAGAUAAACUCCGAAUGCCAUUCAUUUAUAUCCGGGAGUCAGACUGCGAGUGAUAAGAUCCGUAGUCGAAAGGGAAACAGCCCAGACCACCAGCUAAGGUCCCAAAAUAUAUGUUAAGUGGAAAAGGAUGUGGGGUUGCACAGACAACUAGGAUGUUGGCUUAGAAGCAGCCACCAUUUAAAGAGUGCGUAAUAGCUCACUAGUCGAGUGACCCUGCGCCGAAAAUGUACCGGGGCUAAACAUAUUACCGAAGCUGUGGACUACACCAUUAGGUGUAGUGGUAGGAGAGCGUUCUAAGGGCGUUGAAGGUCGAUCGUGAGGACGGCUGGAGCGCUUAGAAGUGAGAAU
This 875-nucleotide ribosomal RNA is filed under the name Enterococcus faecalis. RNAcentral's name for it is "partial 23S ribosomal RNA". It matches the Rfam family "Bacterial large subunit ribosomal RNA", at positions 418 to 1295 of the family's 2925-position model. Lineage: Bacteria; Bacillati; Bacillota; Bacilli; Lactobacillales; Enterococcaceae. The record is from RNAcentral.